RNAcentral lists this ribosomal RNA (737 nucleotides) under uncultured bacterium. Its description in RNAcentral is "bacterial SSU rRNA". It matches the Rfam family "Bacterial small subunit ribosomal RNA", at positions 9 to 802 of the family's 1533-position model. The record is from RNAcentral.
GAGUUUGAUCAUGGCUCAGAACGAACGCUGGCGGCAGGCUUAACACAUGCAAGUCGAACGACAUAGUGGCAGACGGGUGAGUAACGCGUGGGAACGUGCCUUUCACUACGGAAUAGCUCUUGGAAACGAGUGGUAAUACCGUAUACGCCCUCCGGGGGAAAGAUUUAUCGGUGAAAGAUCGGCCCGCGUUAGAUUAGUUUGUUGGUGGGGUAAUGGCCUACCAAGACUACGAUCUAUAGCUGGUCUGAGAGGAUGAUCAGCCACACUGGGACUGAGACACGGCCCAGACUCCUACGGGAGGCAGCAGUGGGGAAUCUUGCACAAUGGGCGAAAGCCUGAUGCAGCCAUGCCGCGUGAAUGAUGAAGGCCUUAGGGUUGUAAAAUUCUUUCGCUAGGGAUGAUAAUGACAGUACCUAGUAAAGAAGCCCCGGCUAACUUCGUGCCAGCAGCCGCGGUAAUACGAAGGGGGCUAGCGUUGUUCGGAAUUACUGGGCGUAAAGCGCGCGUAGGCGGGCUAUUAAGCCAGAUGUGAAAGCCCGGAGCUCAACUCCGGAACUGCAUUUGGAACUGGUAGCCUAGAGACCAGGAGAGGUUAGCGGAAUACCGAGUGUAGAGGUGAAAUUCGUAGAUAUUCGGUGGAACACCAGUGGCGAAGGCGGCUAACUGGACUGGUACUGACGCUGAGGCGCGAAAGUGUGGGGAGCAAACAGGAUUAGAUACCCUGGUAGUCCACACCG